This 302-nucleotide ribosomal RNA is filed under the name uncultured bacterium. RNAcentral's name for it is "bacterial SSU rRNA". It matches the Rfam family "Bacterial small subunit ribosomal RNA", at positions 28 to 327 of the family's 1533-position model. The record is from RNAcentral.
GAUGAACGCUAGCGGCAGGCUUAAUACAUGCAAGUCGAGGGGCAGCGCAGUGUAGCAAUACAUGGGCGGCGACCGGCAAACGGGUGCGGAACACGUACGCAAUCUAACCCAAAACUGAUGAAUAGCCCUCGAAAGGAGGAUUAAUACAUCGUAACCUAUUAGAGUAGCAUUACUUUAUUAGUAUAGCUCCGGCGGUUUUGGAUGAGCGUGCGCCUGAUUAGAUAGNGGCGGGGUAACGGCCACCAAGUCUGCGAUCAGUAACUGGUGUGAGAGCACGACCAGUCACACGGGCACUGAGACAC